UUUUAUAAAAAGCAAAAUAAUUGAAAAAUUAUUACGCAAAGAGAUAAGUCUAAGGAAGUAAUUCUAUGAUUGUUAUUUCUGCCUCA
Molecule: non-coding RNA, 86 nt
Filed under: Halanaerobium salsuginis
Lineage: Bacteria; Bacillati; Bacillota; Clostridia; Halanaerobiales; Halanaerobiaceae
Description: c-di-GMP-I riboswitch aptamer
Rfam family: c-di-GMP-I riboswitch aptamer
About the family: GEMM was predicted in a large-scale screen for bacterial structured RNA regulatory elements. Genes associated with GEMM are involved in a diverse array of functions, including chemotaxis regulation, signal transduction, secretion and chitin.
Source: Rfam by way of RNAcentral